RNAcentral lists this transfer RNA (72 nucleotides) under Candidatus Aphodenecus pullistercoris. RNAcentral's name for it is "tRNA-Val". It matches the Rfam family "tRNA". Rfam says of the family: Transfer RNA (tRNA) molecules are approximately 80 nucleotides in length. Their secondary structure includes four short double-helical elements and three loops (D, anti-codon, and T loops). Lineage: Bacteria; Pseudomonadati; Spirochaetota; Spirochaetia; Spirochaetales. The record is from RNAcentral. RNAcentral also lists the same sequence under 2 other names.
GGAGGAUUAGCUCAGCGGGAGAGCGCUUGCCUUACAAGCAAGAUGUCACAAGUUCAAUCCUUGUAUCCUCCA